UCCGUAGGUGGAUAAUUAAGUCAGAGGUGAAAUCCUGCAGCUCAACUGUAGAAUUGCCUUUGAUACUGGUUAUCUUGAGUCAUUAUGAAGUGGUUAGAAUGUGUAGUGUAGCGGUGAAAUGCAUAGAUAUUACACAGAAUACCGAUUGCGAAGGCAGACCACUAAUAAUGUACUGACACUGAGGGACGAAAGCGUGGGGAGCGAACAGGAUUAGAUACCCUGGUAGUCC
RNAcentral lists this ribosomal RNA (229 nucleotides) under uncultured bacterium. Its description in RNAcentral is "partial 16S ribosomal RNA". It matches the Rfam family "Bacterial small subunit ribosomal RNA", at positions 568 to 796 of the family's 1533-position model. The record is from RNAcentral.